This 3149-nucleotide ribosomal RNA is filed under the name Streptomyces sp. MZ04. Its description in RNAcentral is "23S ribosomal RNA". It matches the Rfam family "Bacterial large subunit ribosomal RNA". Lineage: Bacteria; Bacillati; Actinomycetota; Actinomycetes; Kitasatosporales; Streptomycetaceae. The record is from RNAcentral.
ACAGUGGACGCGAGCAUCUGUGGCCAAGUUUUUAAGGGCGCACGGUGGAUGCCUUGGCACCAGGAACCGAUGAAGGACGUGGGAGGCCACGAUAGUCCCCGGGGAGUCGUCAACCAGGCUUUGAUCCGGGGGUUUCCGAAUGGGGAAACCCGGCAGUCGUCAUGGGCUGUCACCCGCUGCUGAACACAUAGGCAGUGUGGAGGGAACGCGGGGAAGUGAAACAUCUCAGUACCCGCAGGAAGAGAAAACAACCGUGAUUCCGGGAGUAGUGGCGAGCGAAACUGGAUGAGGCCAAACCGUAUACGUGUGAUACCCGGCAGGGGUUGCGUGUGCGGGGUUGUGGGAUCUCUCUUUCACAGUCUGCCGGCUGUGAGACGAGUCAGAAACCGUUGAUGUAGGCGAAGGACAUGCGAAAGGUCCGGCGUAGAGGGUAAGACCCCCGUAGUCGAAACAUCAGCGGCUCGUUUGAGAGACACCCAAGUAGCACGGGGCCCGAGAAAUCCCGUGUGAAUCUGGCGGGACCACCCGUUAAGCCUAAAUAUUCCCUGGUGACCGAUAGCGGAUAGUACCGUGAGGGAAUGGUGAAAAGUACCGCGGGAGCGGAGUGAAAUAGUACCUGAAACCGUGUGCCUACAAGCCGUGGGAGCGUCGGACAAGCACUUGUGCUUGUCUCGUGACUGCGUGCCUUUUGAAGAAUGAGCCUGCGAGUUUGCGGUGCGUUGCGAGGUUAACCCGUGUGGGGAAGCCGUAGCGAAAGCGAGUCCGAAUAGGGCGAUUUUAGUAGCGCGCUCAAGACCCGAAGCGGAGUGAUCUAGCCAUGGGCAGGUUGAAGCGGCUGUAAGAGGUCGUGGAGGACCGAACCCACCAGGGUUGAAAACCUGGGGGAUGACCUGUGGUUAGGGGUGAAAGGCCAAUCAAACUCCGUGAUAGCUGGUUCUCCCCGAAAUGCAUUUAGGUGCAGCGUCGUGUGUUUCUUGCCGGAGGUAGAGCACUGGAUAGGCGAUGGGCCCUACCGGGUUACUGACCUUAGCCAAACUCCGAAUGCCGGUAAGUGAGAGCACGGCAGUGAGACUGUGGGGGAUAAGCUCCAUGGUCGAGAGGGAAACAGCCCAGAGCAUCGACUAAGGCCCCUAAGCGUACGCUAAGUGGGAAAGGAUGUGGAGUCGCAGAGACAACCAGGAGGUUGGCUUAGAAGCAGCCACCCUUGAAAGAGUGCGUAAUAGCUCACUGGUCAAGUGAUUCCGCGCCGACAAUGUAGCGGGGCUCAAGCGUACCGCCGAAGUCGUGUCAUUCCAGCAGAUACCCCCAACGGGGGCUGGGAUGGGUAGGGGAGCGUCGUGUGCCGGGUGAAGCUGCAGCGGAAGCUAGUGGUGGACGGUUCACGAGUGAGAAUGCAGGCAUGAGUAGCGAUACAUACGUGAGAAACGUGUGCGCCGAUUGACUAAGGGUUCCUGGGUCAAGCUGAUCUGCCCAGGGUAAGUCGGGACCUAAGGCGAGGCCGACAGGCGUAGUCGAUGGAUAACCGGUUGAUAUUCCGGUACCCGCUGUGAAGCGUCAAACAUUGAAUCAGGCGAUGCUAAGUCCGUGAAGCCGUCCUGGAGCCUUCGGGCAAAGGGAAGUGGUGGAGCCGACGGACCAGACUUGUAGUAGGUGAGUGAUGGGGUGACGCAGGAAGGUAGUCCAGCCCGGGCGGUGGUUGUCCCGGGGUAAGGGUGUAGGCCGUGCGAUAGGUAAAUCCGUCGCACACAAGGCUGAGACCUGAUGCCGAGCCGAUUGUGGUGAAGUGGAUGAUCCUAUGCUGUCGAGAAAAGCCUCUAGCGAGUUUCAUGGCGGCCCGUACCCUAAACCGACUCAGGUGGUCAGGUAGAGAAUACCGAGGCGUUCGGGUGAACUAUGGUUAAGGAACUCGGCAAAAUGCCCCCGUAACUUCGGGAGAAGGGGGGCCAUCACCGGUGAUCGGAUUUACUCCGUGAGCUGGGGGUGGCCGCAGAGACCAGCGAGAAGCGACUGUUUACUAAAAACACAGGUCCGUGCGAAGCCGUAAGGCGAUGUAUACGGACUGACGCCUGCCCGGUGCUGGAACGUUAAGGGGACCGGUUAGUCCGACUUCGGUCGGGCGAAGCUGAGAACUUAAGCGCCAGUAAACGGCGGUGGUAACUAUAACCAUCCUAAGGUAGCGAAAUUCCUUGUCGGGUAAGUUCCGACCUGCACGAAUGGCGUAACGACUUCUCGACUGUCUCAACCAUAGGCCCGGUGAAAUUGCACUACGAGUAAAGAUGCUCGUUUCGCGCAGAAGGACGGAAAGACCCCGGGACCUUUACUACAGUUUGAUAUUGGUGUUCGGUUCGGCUUGUGUAGGAUAGGUGGGAGACUUUGAAGCGGGCACGCCAGUGUUCGUGGAGUCGCCGUUGAAAUACCACUCUGGUCGUGCUGGAUGUCUAACCUCGGUCCGUGAUCCGGAUCAGGGACAGUGUCUGAUGGGUAGUUUAACUGGGGCGGUUGCCUCCCAAAGAGUAACGGAGGCGCCCAAAGGUUCCCUCAGCCUGGUUGGUAAUCAGGUGUUGAGUGUAAGUGCACAAGGGAGCUUGACUGUGAGACCGACGGGUCGAGCAGGGACGAAAGUCGGGACUAGUGAUCCGGCGGUGGCUUGUGGAAGCGCCGUCGCUCAACGGAUAAAAGGUACCCCGGGGAUAACAGGCUGAUCUUCCCCAAGAGUCCAUAUCGACGGGAUGGUUUGGCACCUCGAUGUCGGCUCGUCGCAUCCUGGGGCUGGAGUCGGUCCCAAGGGUUGGGCUGUUCGCCCAUUAAAGCGGUACGCGAGCUGGGUUUAGAACGUCGUGAGACAGUUCGGUCCCUAUCCUCUGUGCGCGUAGGAAUAUUGAGAAGGGCUGUCCCUAGUACGAGAGGACCGGGACGGACGAACCUCUGGUGUGCCAGUUGUCCUGCCAAGGGCAUGGCUGGUUGGCUACGUUCGGAAAGGAUAACCGCUGAAAGCAUCUAAGCGGGAAGCCUGCUUCGAGAUGAGUAUUCCCACCCCCUUUGAGGGGUUAAGGCUCCCAGUAGACGACUGGGUUGAUAGGCCAGAUCUGGAAGCCCGGUAACGGGUGGAGGUGACUGGUACUAAUAGGCCGAGGGCUUGUCCUCAGUUG